Long non-coding RNA from Oncorhynchus gorbuscha (pink salmon), 404 nucleotides. RefSeq lists it as uncharacterized. The record is from RefSeq and is a predicted model, not a curated record. The transcript has 2 exons. NCBI's taxonomy places the organism in Eukaryota, Metazoa, Chordata, Actinopteri, Salmoniformes, Salmonidae.
UUGUCUUUCUCUCUUUCCUCACAUAGCCUGCAGACUAUUUUGAUUGGGUUGCUUGUGAACAGCCCUGCUAGCGCUACGCAAUUGUGCUAACUGCUCACAGCUUAGAACAGAAAAAAGAAAAACACACCAACAAAUAGAAAACUCCCCGAUGUUGUGGGAGAUAUGCUCCGACAAGAACGUCAAGGAGCCGGGGAAACCAAAAAAGCAAUAAUCUGAGCCUCUUCAAAUAAACCCUGUCAUCUGGUGGAUGGUGGGGAGAGGAGACCCCAUUUCCCCCUUUAAAACACCAUCCCCCACCCCAUCCCAUUGCUGGGUUUAGACACAGGUUGUAAGGUUGUUAACAUGUGCCAUCCGGCUUUGAUGUGGAUCCAGAUGCUGACAUCAUUGUUUUGGGGAGCAGAACA